RNAcentral lists this transfer RNA (73 nucleotides) under Candidatus Curtissbacteria bacterium RIFCSPHIGHO2_01_FULL_41_44. RNAcentral describes it as "tRNA-Pro". It matches the Rfam family "tRNA". Rfam says of the family: Transfer RNA (tRNA) molecules are approximately 80 nucleotides in length. Their secondary structure includes four short double-helical elements and three loops (D, anti-codon, and T loops). RNAcentral also lists the same sequence under 3 other names. Lineage: Bacteria; Candidatus Curtissiibacteriota. The record is from RNAcentral.
CGGAGUGUGGCGCAGUUGGUAGCGCGCGUCGUUCGGGACGGCGAGGUCGACGGUUCGAAUCCGUCCACUCCGA